AUCCUUUUUGGUCAUUAGCAUGAUGAUUGGGUAUUCACACCAUUGUGUGAUAUGUGCCUCCCUCUAAACUGUUAUGAUGUCAGCACAUAACCCGUCUGAGU
This is a non-coding RNA of Ictidomys tridecemlineatus (thirteen-lined ground squirrel), 101 nucleotides long. The record is from Rfam. Lineage: Eukaryota; Metazoa; Chordata; Mammalia; Rodentia; Sciuridae.